This 266-nucleotide ribosomal RNA is filed under the name uncultured prokaryote. Its description in RNAcentral is "partial 16S ribosomal RNA". It matches the Rfam family "Bacterial small subunit ribosomal RNA", at positions 524 to 788 of the family's 1533-position model. The record is from RNAcentral.
UACGUAGGUGGCGAGCGUUGUCCGGAAUCACUGGGCGUAAAGGGCGCGUAGGCGGUUAAUUAAGUCAGGUGUGUAAACCGCAGGCUUAACCUGAGGAUUGCACCUGAUACUGGAUAACUUGAGUGCAGGAGAGGGCAGUGGAAUUCCUAGUGUAGCGGUGAAAUGCGUAGAUAUUAGGAAGAACACCAGUGGCGAAGGCGAUUCUCUGGACUGUAACUGACGCUGAGGCUCGAAAGCGUGGGGAGCAAACAGGAUUAGAUACCCCU